RNAcentral lists this ribosomal RNA (532 nucleotides) under uncultured bacterium. RNAcentral's name for it is "partial 16S ribosomal RNA". The record is from RNAcentral.
ACGGUUACCUUGUUACGACUUCACCCCAGUCAUCGGAUCUGCCUUCGGCAGCUCCCCCCUUACGGUUGGGCCACUGACUUCGGGCAUUCCCAACUCCCAUGGUGUGACGGGCGGUGUGUACAAGACCCGGGAACGUAUUCACCGCGGCAUUCUGAUCCGCGAUUACUAGCGAUUCCGGCUUCAUGCAGCCGAGUUGCAGGCUGCAAUCCGAACUGGGGCGCUGUUUCUGGGGUUCGCUCCGCGUCGCCGCAUCGCAUCCCUCUGUUAACGCCAUUGUAGCACGUGUGUAGCCCAAGCCAUAAGGGGCAUGAUGAUUUGACGUCAUCCCCGCCUUCCUCCAGGUUGUCCCUGGCAGUCCCCACAGAGUGCCCGCCUCCACGCGCUGGCUACUGGGGGUAGGGGUUGCGCUCGUUGCGGGACUUAACCCAACAUCUCACGACACGAGCUGACGACAACCAUGCACCACCUGUCUCUGCCGCCCCGAGGGGGGCAUACAUUGCAUAUGCUGCCGGCAGGAUGUCAAGGCUUGGUA